This 380-nucleotide ribosomal RNA is filed under the name uncultured eukaryote. RNAcentral's name for it is "partial 18S ribosomal RNA". It matches the Rfam family "Eukaryotic small subunit ribosomal RNA", at positions 592 to 976 of the family's 1831-position model. The record is from RNAcentral.
CAAUAGCGUAUAUUAAAGUUGUUGCAGUUAAAAAGCUCGUAGUUGGAUUUGUGGCGUACGGUGUGUUCCGGGCACUUGUUGUCUGAGUAACCUGCUGUUGCCAUCCUUGGGUGGAACCUGUGUGGCAUUAGGUUGUCGUGCAGGGGAUGCCCAUCAUUUACUGUGAAAAAAUUAGAGUGUUCAAAGCAGGCUUAUGCCGUUGAAUAUAUUAGCAUGGAAUAAUGAGAUAGGACUUUUUUGCUAUUUUGCUGGUUUGCGCAAAGAGGUAAUGAUUAAUAGGGACAGUUGGGGGUAUUCGUAUUCCAUUGUCAGAGGUGAAAUUCUUGGAUUUUUGGAAGACGAACUACUGCGAAAGCAUUUACCAAGGAUGUUUUCAUUAA